CAAUAGCGUAUAUUAAAGUUGUUGCGGUUAAAAAGCUCGUAGUUGGAUUUCUGUUGGGAACGACCGGUCCGCCCAUUGGGUGUGUAUCUGGCUUGUUCUCGGCAUCUUCUUGGUGAACGUUGCUGCACUUGACUGUGUGGAGCGCUACCCAGGACUUUUACUUUGAGGAAAUUAGAGUGUUUCAAGCAGGCAUACGCCUUGAAUACAUUAGCAUGGAAUAAUAAGAUAGGACCUCGGUUCUAUUUUGUUGGUUUCUAGAGCUGAGGUAAUGAUUAAUAGGGAUAGUUGGGGGCAUUCGUAUUUAACUGUCAGAGGUGAAAUUCUUGGAUUUGCUAAAGACGGACUACUGCGAAAGCAUUUGCCAAGGAUGUUUUCAUUGA
RNAcentral lists this ribosomal RNA (380 nucleotides) under uncultured eukaryote. Its description in RNAcentral is "partial 18S ribosomal RNA". It matches the Rfam family "Eukaryotic small subunit ribosomal RNA", at positions 592 to 976 of the family's 1831-position model. The record is from RNAcentral.